RNAcentral lists this ribosomal RNA (994 nucleotides) under Triticum aestivum (bread wheat). RNAcentral's name for it is "partial small subunit ribosomal RNA". The record is from RNAcentral. Lineage: Eukaryota; Viridiplantae; Streptophyta; Magnoliopsida; Poales; Poaceae.
GUUCCAUACUUCUGUUACAUCGGUUCUUCAGGUUUGCAUACUAAAAUCAGUAUCUACUGGCCCUUCCGGUUCUAAUGGAGGAGAUCAACGGUUCUUCUGCGAAGACUGGUACUGCAUCACCUUGUGACACCGAAGCUAACAACACUCAUAUUAUGUAAAAGCUCAAAUCUAUCUCCAACCAGAACAAAUCUUGGCCUAACAAAGAAAAACACUGAUGUAGAUUCCCCAAACUAGAACCCAACACACUACUACAGUGGUGGUUUUGGCUAGUUCGGCAAGGAUAAGAGGCUAUGUACAUACACAUGAAAUUUUGAUUGGUAAACGAGCGAAUGUAAAAUAAAUCUGUAGCAGAGAUCCGGGAAAGAAGAAAUCGGAUUUAAUUCGACACAUAGGGGGGGUCGCCCUUUAUACCCAAAUAGUAUAGUUCAGAACAUGGGGAAGAAGGGGAGAAGUGGAAGAGGAAGAUGACGAGGCGCGCGUGUCGUAGAAGACACCCGAUGGGUGAGUUCCAGGCCAUCGAGCUCUCCUCCGCAUGUGGUGAAGCUCCAUCCGACGGUUGCACGGGUGGCGCGCGUGGCCGGCGCCACGGGCAGGAGGUCAUCACCUGCAGCAAUCCCACUUCCGGAUCACGCAGGAGCACGCAUGCGCGACCAUCACCGCGCCAGACCACGGGGAGAUGAGGAGUGGACCUCGUCGGCGUAGCGUGGAGGAGCUGCUCGUCAGAGGUGGGGAUCCUGCGCUCCCCGCCUUAAUGGUGGCCGACGUAAGGCUCGGGGUGGACAGAGGAGAUGGGUGGUGGUCACGCGGCGCCUGAUGGAGGUGGCAGGCGAGAAGCACAUCGGCUAGGGACGGCGACCAUGCGUGCGGAGGAGCACGUCGGUGACCAUGGUGUGGGGAGAGGAGAAGCUCGAGUAGGAGCACAGCGCUGGGGGCCACCACGCCGGAAGACACAUAGGAGAGCUCGAGUAGUAGGAGGAGAGAGGAAUUGUGUUGG